RNAcentral lists this ribosomal RNA (432 nucleotides) under uncultured bacterium. Its description in RNAcentral is "partial 16S ribosomal RNA". It matches the Rfam family "Bacterial small subunit ribosomal RNA", at positions 29 to 506 of the family's 1533-position model. The record is from RNAcentral.
AACGAACGCUGGCGGCAUGCCUAACACAUGCAAGUCGAACGAGACCUUCGGGUCUAGUGGCGCACGGGUGCGUAACGCGUGGGAACCUGCCCUUAGGUUCGGAAUAACUCCCCGAAAGGGGUGCUAAUACCGGAUAAUGUCUUCGGACCAAAGAUUUAUCGCCUUUGGAUGGGCCCGCGUUGGAUUAGCUAGUUGGUAGGGUAAAAGCCUACCAAGGCGACGAUCCAUAGCUGGUCUGAGAGGAUGAUCAGCCACACUGGGACUGAGACACGGCCCAGACUCCUACGGGAGGUAGCAGUGGGGAAUAUUGGACAAGGGGCGAAAGCCUGAUCCAGCAAUGCCGCGUGAGUGAUGAAGGCCUUAGGGUUGUAAAGCUCUUUUACCCGAGAUGAUAAUGACAGUACCGGGAGAAUAAGCUCCGGCUAACUCCGU